Molecule: long non-coding RNA, 708 nt
Organism: Carassius auratus (goldfish)
Lineage: Eukaryota; Metazoa; Chordata; Actinopteri; Cypriniformes; Cyprinidae
Exons: 3
Source: RefSeq, a predicted model, not a curated record
ACAUCACGUUUUCCUUGUAUAACUGUGAAGGGCUCACAUGUCGAUUUGUCCUAUUUUGGCCUUCAGGAACAAUAAUUUUUUAAUAUAAAUGUAAAAGCUGCUCUGACUCUCAUCAUCUGCGUCAAGUUCUCUCGUGAGAUACGGUUUAAUCAACAGGGCUUCUCACAGCUCAUCUCAAUCUAAACCCCAGUAAAGGUUCAUCAUUUACCCGCUGUGUUACUCCAAAUCAUGUGUCCUUGACCUUUUGACCUUUUGACUCAAGCUCUGAGACGUCAUUUCCUGUUUACAGCCCGCAGUAUCAGCCCUUGAGGAGCAGGUUUGAGUUUAUACGGUUCACCACUGAAGCAUCUCUUCUGCUCUCAGACAGAACAGUGAAAAUAUGAAUGUUGUGAAGCUUUUCAGACAGAUGAGCUGGAUUGAGAAACGUGUAAGAAAGCCACUGGAUUGUAGAAUAGAAACAACACAUGCAGAAAACUACCGGAGCAUCAGAAAACACAGACCAACAAACACCAACAGCACAGAGAGAGAAACCAGUGCAUCACAAGAGAAAACACUGGUUAGAUGCCACAGUAUGGGGAAAUAAAGCCAGACUUUCUUACACUGAUGAAUACUCACAGAUCAGUGUGAUUGUGUGUAAAGGACAGGAUGUGUUUGGUGUAGAUUGUUUGCGUUCACAUACUUGUGCAAUAUUUUUCUUGGUUUUCUCAC